GUAGUCCACGCCGUAAACGAUGGAUACUAGCUGUUGGAGGUAUCGACCCCUUCAGUAGCGAAGCUAACGCGUUAAGUAUCCCGCCUGUGGAGUACGGUCGCAAGACUAAAACAUAAAGGAAUUGACGGGGACCCGCACAAGCGGUGGAUCGUGUUCUUUAAUUCGAUGAUAAACGAAGAACCUUACCAGGGUUUGACAUCCUUGGAAUUUCUGUGAAAGCAGAGAGUGCUUUAUUGAGCCAAGUGACAGGUGCUGCAUGGCCGUCGUCAGCUCGUGUCGUGAGAUGUUUGGUUAAGUCCAUCAACGAGCGCAACCCUUGUGAAUAGUUGUAUUUUUCUAUUCAGACUGCCCCGGUAACGGGGAGGAAGGAGGGGAUGAUGUCAGGUCAGUAUUGCCCUUACACCCUGGGCUAGAAACACGAUACAAUGGUUAGUACAAUGCGCAGCAAAACCGCGAGGUGGAGCAAAUCGCAUCAAAGCUAAUCUCAGUUCGGAUAAGAGGCUGAAACUCGCCUCUUUGAAGUCGGAAUCGCUAGUAAUCGCAGAUCAGCAAGCUGCGGUGAAUACGUUCCCGGGUCUUGUACACACCGCCCGUCAAACCAUGAAAGUCACCAACACCCGAAGUCCGAUUCGUCGGCCUAAGGUNGGGGGGAUGAUUGGGGUU
This 663-nucleotide ribosomal RNA is filed under the name uncultured bacterium. RNAcentral describes it as "bacterial SSU rRNA". It matches the Rfam family "Bacterial small subunit ribosomal RNA", at positions 790 to 1482 of the family's 1533-position model. The record is from RNAcentral.